CCCCUCUCAGGGUCGCACCUGGAGAGGUUCCAGUCCUCUACCAGUCUUGGCUACGGGAGGGAGAAUCAAGCAGAGGGCUACCCAUUCCAUUCCUAGCUUGGCCAGUGGCUAGCAAACAGAAGGCAAUCUGCUACAAGU
RNAcentral lists this small nucleolar RNA (138 nucleotides) under Ornithorhynchus anatinus (platypus). The record is from RNAcentral. Lineage: Eukaryota; Metazoa; Chordata; Mammalia; Monotremata; Ornithorhynchidae.